AUACAGGGGGUGCGAGCGUUAAUCGGAAUUACUGGGCGUAAAGAGUACGUAGGCGGUUGCUUAAGUCAGAUGUGAAAGCCCCGGGCUCAACCUGGGAACUGCAUUUGAAACUGAGUGACUAGAGUUUAAGAGAGGGGAGUAGAAUUCCGGGUGUAGCGGUGAAAUGCGUAGAGAUCCGGAGGAAUACCAGUGGCGAAGGCGGCUCCCUGGCUUAAAACUGACGCUGAGGUACGAAAGCGUGGGGAGCAAACAGGAUUAGAAACCCCUGUAGUCC
Molecule: ribosomal RNA, 274 nt
Filed under: uncultured bacterium
Lineage: Bacteria
Description: partial 16S ribosomal RNA
Rfam family: Bacterial small subunit ribosomal RNA
Source: RNAcentral